UGCUCGAAAAGGUUUCUGGGACAAUCGAUUUGAGACCAAGCACAGCUCUGAUCUCCUCAUGAGAAUUCAGGCAUUUUUGCAAAGGAGAACCCAUGUGUGACUAAUCUACCACAACUCAAAGUUAGAGAUGCAGAAGAGGUGACAGAAGAGGUCGUGGUAACCACAUUACGCAGGGCCAUUAAUUUUUAUUCAACAAUCCAGGCACAUGAUGGUCAUUGGCCU
Molecule: long non-coding RNA, 222 nt
Filed under: Rosa chinensis
Lineage: Eukaryota; Viridiplantae; Streptophyta; Magnoliopsida; Rosales; Rosaceae
Description: sRNA RchiOBHm_Chr2g0148921
Source: RNAcentral